AGAGUGAACGCUGGCGGCAGGCCUAAUACAUGCAAGUCGAACGGCAGCACGGCAGAGCUUGCUCUGUGGGUGGCGAGCGGCGGACGGUGAGGAUACAUGGGAAUCUGCCCAGUCGUGGGGGAUAACGUAUGGAAACGUACGCUAAUACCGCAUGCGCCCUUCGGGGGAAAGCCGGGGACCUUCGGGCCUGGCCGCGAUUGGAUGAG
RNAcentral lists this ribosomal RNA (206 nucleotides) under uncultured soil bacterium. Its description in RNAcentral is "partial 16S ribosomal RNA". It matches the Rfam family "Bacterial small subunit ribosomal RNA", at positions 26 to 229 of the family's 1533-position model. The record is from RNAcentral.